UGGGGAAUUUUGGACAAUGGGGGAAACCCUGAUCCAGCCAUCCCGCGUGUGCGAUGAAGGCCUUCGGGUUGUAAAGCACUUUUGGCAGGAAAGAAACGUCAUGGGUUAAUACCCCGUGAAACUGACGGUACCUGCAGAAUAAGCACCGGCUAACUACGUGCCAGCAGCCGCGGUAAUACGUAGGGUGCAAGCGUUAAUCGGAAUUACUGGGCGUAAAGCGUGCGCAGGCGGUUCGGAAAGAAAGAUGUGAAAUCCCAGAGCUCAACUUUGGAACUGCAUUUUUAACUACCGGGCUAGAGUGUGUCAGAGGGGGGUGGAAUUCCGCGUGUAGCAGUGAAAUGCGUAGAUAUGCGGAGGAACACCGAUGGCGAAGGCAGCCUCCUGGGAUAACACUGACGCUCAUGCACGAAAGCGUGGGUAGCAAACAGG
RNAcentral lists this ribosomal RNA (429 nucleotides) under Acidobacteriota bacterium. Its description in RNAcentral is "Acidobacteria bacterium partial 16S ribosomal RNA". It matches the Rfam family "Bacterial small subunit ribosomal RNA", at positions 355 to 776 of the family's 1533-position model. Lineage: Bacteria; Pseudomonadati; Acidobacteriota. The record is from RNAcentral.